RNAcentral lists this long non-coding RNA (274 nucleotides) under Mus musculus (house mouse). RNAcentral's name for it is "predicted gene, 50132". The record is from RNAcentral. Lineage: Eukaryota; Metazoa; Chordata; Mammalia; Rodentia; Muridae. RNAcentral also lists the same sequence under 1 other name.
UUUGUAGGGUUUGGUAUUUAGUGAUGAUCAACAUAGCUCUCAUGGGCACAUCUAGGAGAGGAAUAAGAUGUUAAGCAGUGAUCUCAUAUGUACGUCUUUUCAAAUUAGAACUAUAAACGUCAUAAUAUUACUUUUAUGCUGGAGGAUGGAAUUUGGGGCAACCUAAAUCUGUGUUCCUGAACCAUGGUCACUAAAAUGGCUCAAGAAAUAAACUAUCUCUUGUUCCCUCUGGGAUGAGAGUUGUGGUUCUCCCACAUCAGCAAAUAGAAGGCAG